CAGGAAAUGACUGGGUUGAGGAAUUGGAAGGUUAGGGCCUUUGAGGUCAAGAAUAUCUAAGGAGUUAAUGACCAAAAAAAAGUAAAGGAAGGAAGUUUAUCAGUACCAGAUCUUAGCUGUUUCCUUUGAGGUGCGCGCUGUUCGUAUCUACCACCCAAUCAAAACGCUGGCGGCUUCCAUCUAGUGGUCCCCAGGACACUCCCCUUCCUUCCUCAACGAGUUCAGCGCCAGCUCAGUCUUCCUCUUCUCAGUUCUCGUCCUCACAUGUAAGGCAGUUCAACAUACGCAGCAUGCACCUCAAAGGAAGCCAUGUUACUGAAUGGUGGAGAGAGAUGGAGAAACCGGGGUGACGAUGGGGAGUAAGGGGAAUUCCAACUCCCCCGCCUCGACCAGGGAGCUGAGGAGAGGUUAACCUUACUGAAAUCACCCCCGAUGAGGGGCAGGGAGGAAGCCUUGUGAACAUGACCUCAGUGACAAAGAAGAGCAGGGACCUGGAGGUUGGCAGAUGUCACCAACCAUCUGGAGAGGGUUCUAGAGUCCAGCAGAGGAGCUGAAAAGGGGGAAGGCUUGCUGAGAGAGCGUGAGAGAGGGAGGGCCAGGAACCGCCUGGAGGGAAGUGGCCCAGAACCUUGGGAACAGCAGUGACCCCCAAGCCACCAGACCAGCUUCCAGCCUGGCCCCUGCAGCCACCGUGAAGGGAAGAAAUCAUUGGCAGAAGGAGCCCACUAGCCUCAACACCACCACCAAAACUACAGACCAACCUUCACCUGCCAACAGUCACACAAACCAACAGCCCUGGGAGGGGCAGUGUCCCACACGGCCCCAGGCUUGCUUCCAGCCUGGCUCCCACAGCCAUGCUCCCAAGAAGGAUCUCCCAGGCACCCCCUGCACCCCUGGGCAGGGCAGCUGGGCACCCCGAGGGAGAGCGUGAGGGCAGCAAGUGCCAGGCAAGUCAGUCCCCCCACCACCACCACCCUGGCCCCCAUCUCCCCUCAGACCCUGAUGGAGACAGCCCAGGACCUCGAGCCCAAGAGCCUGGGGAAGAGCCAGGCUUCCAGCCCAGCCCCCACAGCCUGAGGACCCAGAAAGGAGAGUUCUUGGGACCCACGUCCUGGGCCCUGGCAGGUGGUUCGACAUCAGAGACCAGUGCAAUCUGAUCAGUGGCAAGAACAUGAAAGAAGAGGCCUGACUGCUGGCUUUGCUGCUGCCCCCAAGGACCACAGGUGGGACCUUCCCAUCGGACUUGCAGCUCAGCCCUUCCCUGGGUGCUGUCUCCCCGACUAGAAAGGGAGCAGGGACCGUCUCGCUUUUCUAUUGCUAUCCAAGGAGUUAGCCUAGUUCGUGGCACACAGUAAGUGCUUAAUAAAUGCCUUCUCACGUCUCUCUCCAGUCUGGUUUUGCCACAGCUGCCAAAAAACAUCUUCCCAAGCCCUGGUCUCCCCCGUCACGCCCUUCUCCAAACGCCUUAGUGGUUCUGUGCAGGUUCUGUGCACGGCGUUAAAGGCCCAAUCUAACUCCUGCCCAAAAGGAUGCCAAAGCACCUCCAGAUUUGGGGGAGUACUUUGUUUUCUUAAUUGCUCAGUAAUAUUCCAUUUUGGAAUACUGUGACAUCAUCAAGGCAGAACAAAGAGAAAAAAGGAGGUGGCUCUGGGGCUGGCCCGAGGAGGGGCAUGAGAGAAGUGAGGUGAGAGAUGGCCACCAGGUAAGAGGAGAGCGCAACCUGUAACUUGGAGGCCAACCUGAGAUGAGACGGGAGCAGAGGAUGUGCCUGCAUCCUGCAAACGCGCAUCCCUCGGCCUGCUGCGGGAAGAUGCUGCGGGGAAAGCCCAGGGCUGAGGGCUCACUCUCACCCUUAGCCACCAGCCCCACGGCUCCCUGGCCUCAGGCUCACAAGCCUGCCUCAGGAAGGAUUCUUAUCCAAGCAGCAGAGACACUUUGCCUCCAGAGGAGUGGGAUCUUUAAUACAGGGCAAUUGCCUGGAUGUGUGGAGUAAAUAAGAGGCAAGAUUUGAGGAUGCCAU
This is a long non-coding RNA of Vombatus ursinus (common wombat), 2020 nucleotides long. RefSeq lists it as uncharacterized. The record is from RefSeq and is a predicted model, not a curated record. Lineage: Eukaryota; Metazoa; Chordata; Mammalia; Diprotodontia; Vombatidae. The transcript is spliced from 4 exons.